AGCGAACGCUGGCGGCAGGCCUAACACAUGCAAGUCGAACGGAUCCUUCGGGAUUAGUGGCGGACGGGUGAGUAACACGUGGGAACGUACCUUUUGGUUCGGAACAACUCAGGGAAACUUGAGCUAAUACCGAAUGUGCCCUUCGGGGGAAAGAUUUAUCGCCAUUAGAGCGGCCCGCGUCUGAUUAGCUAGUUGGUGAGGUAAAGGCUCACCAAGGCUACGAUCAGUAGCUGGUCUGAGAGGAUGAUCAGCCACAUUGGGACUGAGACACGGCCCAAACUCCUACGGGAGGCAGCAGUGGGGAAUCUUGCGCAAUGGGCGAAAGCCUGACGCAGCCAUGCCGCGUGAAUGAUGAAGGUCUUAGGGUUGUAAAAUUCUUUCUACCGGGGACGAUAAUGACGGUACCCGGAGAAGAAGCCCCGGCUAACUUCGUGCCAGCAGCCGCGGUAAU
This 451-nucleotide ribosomal RNA is filed under the name uncultured bacterium. RNAcentral describes it as "bacterial SSU rRNA". It matches the Rfam family "Bacterial small subunit ribosomal RNA", at positions 29 to 524 of the family's 1533-position model. The record is from RNAcentral.